UUAAAAUUCAUAAUCAAAUACUAGACUCAACCAUGAACAUGAUGGAAAAAGAAUCAGAAUUUUUGGAUGAAAAUUGAGUGAGAAAUUAAUUUUUGAAGAUGAGGAAAUAAUUGGAUGCAACAUGAUCACAUUAACAUGGCAUAGGUCAAACAAGGAAGUCAACAGUGGCAUUUUUGAAAUUCCGUGUCUCACUAAUUGAAACGGCAGUGCAUUGGGG
RNAcentral lists this long non-coding RNA (217 nucleotides) under Lathyrus oleraceus (garden pea). Its description in RNAcentral is "Pisum sativum (pea) long non-coding RNA (PSAT_LNC012013)". The record is from RNAcentral. Lineage: Eukaryota; Viridiplantae; Streptophyta; Magnoliopsida; Fabales; Fabaceae.